UGGCAGACAAGUUCAGGAAGAGACCCUGC
RNAcentral lists this non-coding RNA (29 nucleotides) under Mus musculus (house mouse). Lineage: Eukaryota; Metazoa; Chordata; Mammalia; Rodentia; Muridae. RNAcentral also lists the same sequence under 1 other name. The record is from RNAcentral.